Molecule: long non-coding RNA, 1660 nt
Filed under: Malus domestica (apple)
Lineage: Eukaryota; Viridiplantae; Streptophyta; Magnoliopsida; Rosales; Rosaceae
Description: long non-coding RNA (MDOM_LNC012818)
Source: RNAcentral
CAAAUCUUCCCCAUGCUUUUGACAUGUAUUGUUGAGCUGAGUUGUCGUGGCCCUUUCCUCACGCUAGAAGUACUUUUUACAGGACCUACCUGCCAGCUCUUCCCAGGUCUGGAUGGAACCUAGCGCGAGGGUGGUGUACCAAGUAUAAGCACGAUCAGUUAGACUUUUUGAGAACUCUCUGAGAUGGAGACUUGGUUGGAUUGGUGUGUGACAUUUUUGGACCCCAAGAGUUAUUAUUAUUUUUUGGUCAAAGGUAAACUUUAUUGGAUAAUACUUAGGUAUGAGUACUCUAUCUACUCACUUUAUGGUUUGGUCCAAUAAAAAAAAAGCCACAUGUUCCUUAUAUUUAAAGGCCAAAAAAAAUUAAUAUGUCCAUUAUUUUUUAAAACAAUAAUACAUGUGUUAAAAUAUCAUUGGACAAAAUCAAAACGUGAGUUCUCACUAGUGUGUAUCCAAGUAUUAUUAAACUUUAUUACCAACAACACACUUUACAUAGCAAAGGCCCAAUUACAAAUAAGCACAAAGAAAAAGUGGACCUUCCAAGAAAAAAACAAAGAGCCUAAACAAGAAUUAAGGCCCAAAACUAGAAACAAACCAAAGAAGAGCCUACAAUUAUGCUAGCACCACUUCUACAACAGUACAUCACGACUACCACAAACCACUGCCCGAACAAAUGCCAGAAACCAAACCAAACAAUUCCUCAGAGAUAGAAGGAAAGAAUACUCCAUUAUCCAACAAAGAGCACCUCGCUAAUCCUAGCUACCAAAGAGGCCAGUGGGAUUACCACAACACUACCAACAUAGGCAGACAAAGAAAAGGUGGUGGUAUGAACAUGGGAACUGUACAUACCUUCCAGAUGGACCGCUAUAACGACUAAUAUUGAUUGCAAUUUGAGAUGGGAUCAAUGAAGGACGGAGCCAAGUAGGAGAUAACGAAUUGGAUGAAAGGACAAAUCGAUUUGCGAAGGAUCAGAUGCACAUGAAGAUGGAUGGAUACCAAGGGUUAGAAGAAAGAGAAGAUCGGAUCUAAGAGCAUAGUCUGGUAAGAUGGAUGACCAUUGAGGUUGAAAGAUCAUGCAAAUUGGGAUGGAUAUGAGGGGAAAACAGCAACAGAUAGUGAGAAAUGGGAAAGCAAAAAGGAAAAUGAAGGGAUUACUACUGACCCUAGCCACAACCAGGACUCGUGGCUCUAAAAAUUAACGAAUGGGUGACAGCUCACACCACGGUGAGGAAACUCUCACAAAAAGAGUCUCUCACCAAAUGGGAGAAAAGUGUUGUGAAUUAGUUUGAAGGGUAUUUAUGAUGUUAUUUAGGCCAAGGCAUCGAUACAAAACAAGGACAGACAUACAACAAAGCCAAGAGUAUUUACAUUUGCUUCCACAUAAUUCCUUGUUUUAUUGCCUUUCUUUGUUUCCAUUUUGUCAUUUCCUUUUCUCCAACACAAACCAAAAUCCGAUUCUCAAAACUCACCUAACAAUCAUGAACCAAAAGGAAAAAGAAACAAGCGUUCCUCCUUUUAACCAUUCGAUUCCUAAAAACUUCCACACGGUAGAUGCAUGUUGUGUUCCUUUCAAGAGCAAAUAUAAGGAUAGUAUAAUGGCACAAGUAAGGGUGUCGAACUACAGGGACUAAUUAGACUUCUACAAUUACUCGCUUUUUUG